AACGAACGCUGGCGGCAUGCCUAACACAUGCAAGUCGAACGAUGGCUUCGGCCAUAGUGGCGCACGGGUGCGUAACGCGUGGGAAUCUGCCCUUCGGUACGGAAUAACUCAGGGAAACUUGUGCUAAUACCGUAUGAUGUCGAAAGACCAAAGAUUUAUCGCCGAAGGAUGAGCCCGCGUAGGAUUAGCUUGUUGGUGGGGUAAAGGCCCACCAAGGCGACGAUCCUUAGCUGGUCUGAGAGGAUGAUCAGCCACACUGGGACUGAGACACGGCCCAGACUCCUACGGGAGGCAGCAGUGGGGAAUAUUGGACAAUGGGCGAAAGCCUGAUCCAGCAAUGCCGCGUGAGUGAUGAAGGCCCUAGGGUUGUAAAGCUCUUUUACCCGGGAAGAUAAUGACUGUACCGGGAGAAUAAGCCCCGGCUAACUCCGUGCCAGCAGCCGCGGUAACAC
RNAcentral lists this ribosomal RNA (452 nucleotides) under uncultured bacterium. Its description in RNAcentral is "bacterial SSU rRNA". It matches the Rfam family "Bacterial small subunit ribosomal RNA", at positions 29 to 526 of the family's 1533-position model. The record is from RNAcentral.